CAAUAGCGUAUAUUAAAGUUGUUGCAGUUAAAAAGCUCGUAGUUGGAUUUCUGGUGGGAGCGAUCGGUCUGGCGCUUAGCGCGAGUACUUGCAUCGUCUCCGGCCAUCCUUGGGGAGAGUCUGUCUGGCAUUAGGUUGUCGGGCAGAGGAUCCUCAUCGUUUACUGUGAAAAAAUUAGAGUGUUCAAAGCAGGCUUAUGCCGUUGAAUAUAUUAGCAUGGAAUGAUAAGAUAGGACUUUGGUACUAUUUUGUUGGUUUGCGCACCAAAGUAAUGAUUAAUAGGGACAGUUGGGGGUAUUCGUAUUCCGUUGUCAGAGGUGAAAUUCUUGGAUUUACGGAAGACGAACUACUGCGAAAGCAUUUACCAAGGAUGUUUUCAUUAA
RNAcentral lists this ribosomal RNA (383 nucleotides) under uncultured eukaryote. RNAcentral describes it as "partial 18S ribosomal RNA". It matches the Rfam family "Eukaryotic small subunit ribosomal RNA", at positions 592 to 976 of the family's 1831-position model. The record is from RNAcentral.